UCAUUUCAAAAACAACGAAAAUAGGUUUAUGGUUUCUGUUGUUGGUUUUACCCUAAACCCAAGAGACUAACUUCUUCCUUCAUGAUGCUUUAUCUCCCCCUUCAUGUUGCUCUUUGUCCAGCUUCCAUCAUCUUCUCUAUUGGGUCUCAUGUUCACUGUCGGCCUCCUACCUCCGUUGUCCACCUCCCACCCGCCACUUUUUCCCCCCAAGAUCGUUCUCCUUCGCCACAUUUGCACUUCCCUUAGCUCACAAUAACUCUGCGCAGCCACAACCCAAACACAUUCACUGCCCUUUGUCAUCUCCUCGUUUUCCCUACACCAGUCAGCCACUAGAGACGAUGGCAUCGAACCUUGCAACUUCGUCAUCUUUUGUUACAAAAUGACAUCAUUGCCCUUCUCCAACAUCCUCUCCGCACCAUCGCAUGUUCAUGCAUCACCGAUGAUGCUAAAUCUGACUCUGCGUGUGUGUGAAACCGUCGGUUCUUUCGCCACCCUUGUCGUCACCUCUGAUGUCAUUUGCAACGUGGUGGAAUCAGAGUUGACGUGGGCCAUUGAGUGCUACUACAACAGCAAAGUCAUUGGGGUUGGAUUUGUGGUGAGAAGGAUGAAUAGGGCACUCGGGAACAUGUCUUGAUUCUUGUUAAUUUUAGGUCAAACUUUUCUUUUUGAUUCUUGUUUGAGAUCUCUUGGAUUUUAGUAUUAAUUUCUUCUAGGAUUUUUAGUUUCCCUUGUUGAUCUUCAUUUCUUGUGUUGAUUCUUG
RNAcentral lists this long non-coding RNA (760 nucleotides) under Glycine max (soybean). RNAcentral describes it as "long non-coding RNA (GMAX_LNC002185)". Lineage: Eukaryota; Viridiplantae; Streptophyta; Magnoliopsida; Fabales; Fabaceae. The record is from RNAcentral.